GACGAACGCUGGCGGCGUGCUUAACACAUGCAAGUCGAACGGAAAGGCCCUGCUUUUGUGGGGUUCUCGAGUGGCGAACGGGUGAGUAACACGUGAGUAACCUGCCCUUGACUUUGGGAUAACUUCAGGAAACUGGGGCUAAUACCGGAUAGGAGCUCCUGCUGCAUGGUGGGGGUUGGAAAGUUUCGGCGGUUGGGGAUGGACUCGCGGCUUAUCAGCUUGUUUGUGGGGUAGUGGCUUACCAAGGCUUUGACGGGUAGCCGGCCUGAGAGGGUGACCGGCCACAUUGGGACUGAGAUACGGCCCAGACUGCUACGGGAGGCAGCAGUGGGGAAUCUUGCACAAUGGGCGGAAGCCAGAUGCAGCAGCGCCGCGUGCGGGAUGACGGCCUUCGGGUUGUAAACCGCUUUUGCCUGUGAUGAAGCGUGAGUGACGGUAAUGGGUAAAGAAGCACCGGCUAACUACGUG
This 468-nucleotide ribosomal RNA is filed under the name uncultured bacterium. RNAcentral's name for it is "partial 16S ribosomal RNA". It matches the Rfam family "Bacterial small subunit ribosomal RNA", at positions 28 to 507 of the family's 1533-position model. The record is from RNAcentral.